AAGUCGUAACAAGGUUUCCGUAGGUGAACCUGCGGAAGGAUCAUUACAAAAGUUAUGGGUAUGGACUCACCCCCAACCGGGGUCGAGACCUACCUUUACAACUUUCAACCACUUGUGAACUUGUAAUUUGUCUUCAGCUAGAGUUUACUCUGACUGGAGUCAUUAUUCACCAAUUGUCUGUUAACGAAGUCUGACUUUAACUAUCAGUGUUUAAAGACACUAGUAAUUAAAAACAACUUUUGGCAACGGAUCUCUUGGCUCUC
RNAcentral lists this unclassified non-coding RNA (263 nucleotides) under fungal sp. RNAcentral describes it as "partial internal transcribed spacer region". The stretch from base 1 to 46 matches the Rfam family "Eukaryotic small subunit ribosomal RNA", at positions 1786 to 1831 of the family's 1831-position model. The record is from RNAcentral. Lineage: Eukaryota; Fungi.